GAUGAAGAACGUAGCGAAAUGCGAUAAGUAGUGUGAAUUGCAGAAUUCAGUGAAUCAUCGAAUCUUUGAACGCACAUUGCGCCCCUUGGUAUUCCAUGGGGCAUGCCUGUUCGAGCGUCAUUUGUACCUUCAAGCCUUGCUUGGUGUUGGGUGUUUGUCUCGCCUCUGCGCGCAGACUCGCCUCAAAACAAUUGGCAGCCGGCGUAUUGAUUUCGGAGCGCAGUACAUCUCGCGCUUUGCACUCAGAACGACGACGUCCAAAAGUACAUUUUUACACUCUUGACCUCGGAUCAGGUAGGGAUACCCGCUGAACUUAAGCAUAUCAAUAAGCGGAGGU
Molecule: unclassified non-coding RNA, 337 nt
Filed under: soil metagenome
Description: partial contains 5.8S ribosomal RNA, internal transcribed spacer 2, and large subunit ribosomal RNA
Rfam family: 5.8S ribosomal RNA (bases 1-120)
Source: RNAcentral